UGNCGCCAGCCNUACACAUGCAAGUCGAACGGUAGCACAGAGGAGCUUGCUCCUUGGGUGACGAGUGGCGGACGGGUGAGUAAUGUCUGGGAAACUGCCCGAUGGAGGGGGAUAACUACUGGAAACGGUAGCUAAUACCGCAUAACGUCGCAAGACCAAAGAGGGGGACCUUCGGGCCUCUUGCCAUCGGAUGUGCCCAGAUGGGAUUAGCUAGUAGGUGGGGUAACGGCUCACCUAGGCGACGAUCCCUAGCUGGUCUGAGAGGAUGACCAGCCACACUGGAACUGAGACACGGUCCAGACUCCUACGGGAGGCAGCAGUGGGGAAUAUUGCACAAUGGGCGCAAGCCUGAUGCAGCCAUGCCGCGUGUAUGAAGAAGGCCUUCGGGUUGUAAAGUACUUUCAGCGAGGAGGAAGGUGUUGUGGUUAAUAACCNCAGNNAUUGACGUUACUCGCAGAAGAAGCACCGGCUAACUCCGUGCCAGCAGCCGCGGUAAUACGGAGGGUGCAAGCGUUAAUCGGAAUUACUGGGCGUAAAGCGCACGCAGGCGGUCUGUCAAGUCGGAUGUGAAAUCCCCGGGCUCAACCUGGGAACUGCAUCCGAAACUGGCAGGCUAGAGUCUUGUAGAGGGGGGUAGAAUUCCAGGUGUAGCGGUGAAAUGCGUANAGAUCUGGAGGAAUACCGGUGGCGAAGGCGGCCCCCUGGACAAANACUGACGCUCANGUGCNAAAGCGUGGGGAGCAAACAGGAUUANAUACCCUGGUAGUC
RNAcentral lists this ribosomal RNA (768 nucleotides) under Citrobacter freundii. RNAcentral describes it as "bacterial SSU rRNA". It matches the Rfam family "Bacterial small subunit ribosomal RNA", at positions 37 to 795 of the family's 1533-position model. The record is from RNAcentral. Lineage: Bacteria; Pseudomonadati; Pseudomonadota; Gammaproteobacteria; Enterobacterales; Enterobacteriaceae.